ACCGGGGAAAAUCCCCGCGCGUUUGAGCAGAGAGUGCUGGGCGGAAACGUCGCUCCCUUUCUCUCCGGAAGUUCUCUUUUGGAGUCGAAGACACUCGCGAUCUUUUAAACAGUCAUUUAAUCAGUCCGGACGCAACGGAUGACACAGAACGGGGUUUACUCUCGAGC
This 167-nucleotide non-coding RNA is filed under the name Bathycoccus prasinos. The record is from RNAcentral. Lineage: Eukaryota; Viridiplantae; Chlorophyta; Mamiellophyceae; Mamiellales; Bathycoccaceae.